This 672-nucleotide long non-coding RNA is filed under the name Ornithorhynchus anatinus (platypus). Its description in RNAcentral is "lncRNA (ENSOANG00000037594.1)". The record is from RNAcentral. Lineage: Eukaryota; Metazoa; Chordata; Mammalia; Monotremata; Ornithorhynchidae.
AUCAUCUUCUUUCCCUUCUCACCUCCCUUCUCCUUAACCUGUUCCAGAUGGAUUUUGCUAUGAGAAUGCUGAGGGAACGUCUCAGGGGCCUGAGAAUGAAGAUGAUGAUGAAGAUUCCUUCUCCGAUGGUAUUGAAGAAGGGCUACGGAGUGGGUUUGGGGGUGCAAGUUGGGGAGGAGGCCAGGAAGGUGUGAGAUGGCAAGACACAGGAAGCUCUUUGAGAGGGGUGCAAUAACACUGUUAGGUUGGAGGGUGAAUGGUAGAGACGAGCAUCUGAGGGACAAGAGAGGGAAGUGUUGAUGGGCCUAGGAGAAGGUUGCCACCCUGCUACCUUCCUUCCCUGGUCAUAACUCUGCCUCCCUCCUUCCCUGGUCACAACCUUGCCUCCCUCUUUCCCCUGCAGGUGACUCUUACGAGAAUGAGGAUGAGGAGCUGCCCCUGCCUGAGGCCCCAGUGACAGGCUUCCUGAGCCCUGGAGGCCCUUCCUGGGAGCAGAGCUGUACGGCCUUGUCCGUGGGUGAGACCCUGAGAGGGACUGAUCCCCCUGACAAUCCUUCCCCGAUCCCUCAAAUUCCUACCCCUGGCACGGAUCCUGACCCCAGCCCCGGGAUGGACUGCCCCAGUCCCAGCCCCUGUGAACCAGCCCUUAUUCCUUCUCCCGCCCCCUCACAG